CUGGCCCUGAAUCAAGGCCGGCAGCUUCCUGACACUGUUGGUUUUAAACAGGAGCCAAGAGAGAUGUCUUUUUUCUUUGGUCUGUUGGCCAUUUCAGAACUUGGGCAGUGAAAUGAUCAAUUCAUUAGAAAAAAACAGCA
Cavia porcellus (domestic guinea pig) is the source of this 140-nucleotide small nucleolar RNA. Lineage: Eukaryota; Metazoa; Chordata; Mammalia; Rodentia; Caviidae. The record is from Ensembl.